RNAcentral lists this unclassified non-coding RNA (535 nucleotides) under Bombus terrestris (buff-tailed bumblebee). RNAcentral describes it as "misc RNA ENSBTSG00005029815.1". The record is from RNAcentral. Lineage: Eukaryota; Metazoa; Arthropoda; Insecta; Hymenoptera; Apidae.
UUCUUUUUUUAACGAGACAGGCCCUUUGACCAAGGAUGUAAAUCAAUCGCUGGUUUUCUCUAAUCCGAAGGAUGAAAUCCAUUGAAAGGAAGGGCGAAAUACCUUUAUUUAGGUACAAUCGCUAAGAAACGGAAACGAAAUCCCUCGUCGACUUUGCGAAAGGGGAAACAUUUCUCGAGCAAGAGCCACCCUGACGAGCAAUUUUGUCUGAAACUGACUGAGAUAAAAGUCGAGAAGGCGGAACGAUUGGACGACAAAAGCGCAAAAAAUCCAGUGAAUUUGGAAAACGUGCGGACGCUGUAAAAACAGACGCUGCGAUAUUCGAUAAACAUGAACCUGGAAACGAACGUAAGUAAGUGGACUGGCAAACGAACAAAUCAAAUGGCAUUUCGAUUACAACGACGCGAUAUAAAAUUCUUUAAAGUCCGCUAGAACUUUAAUCAAGGAUUAGUCUAAUCGAAAACACUGCUUCAAUUUGUUUUCUAUCCAAAUAGUUUGUCGUAAUAAUUCCGAUAAGAGACAUUCAAAGAGUCGA